GCCCCGGUAGCUCAGCAGGUAGAGCGUGCGGCUGUUAACCGCAAGGUCCCAGGUUCGAGAUGAAUUUUAUUACGAAACUCCUGGCCGGGGCGCCA
RNAcentral lists this transfer RNA (95 nucleotides) under Nanobdellota archaeon. RNAcentral's name for it is "tRNA-Asn". It matches the Rfam family "tRNA". From Rfam's summary of the family: Transfer RNA (tRNA) molecules are approximately 80 nucleotides in length. Their secondary structure includes four short double-helical elements and three loops (D, anti-codon, and T loops). Lineage: Archaea; Nanobdellati; Nanobdellota. The record is from RNAcentral.